UAGGUGCGUUCGAGCUCAUGCUGCGCUGUGCAGUUCGAUCGGUGAGAUUAGCCGGAAGCAGUCGGGGAGGAGCUGAAAACGGAGCCGUCAAGUCGGACACGUUGGGGAUCUCGUUGCUUCCUCAAACAUGGCAGAUCACGUGGCGUUUGCCUACUUUAUUGCAGAUGAACUGGAAGCUAUAGAAAUACCUUUUUUUGUUGGAAGAAAUGCAGCAGGAUGAACAACGACGCUCCUCCACAACAGUUCCCAAACUGGUCAACAUCUUUUUUUUUUUAAAAAAAGAUCGUCUGCGCCUCUCUUUUAGUUGACGCCAUCUCUUCAGGUCCGGCCUUACAAGAGACUCAAGCACAGCUGUUCUUCGUUCUGCAUGCGCUUCAUAUGCCUCAAAAAAUUGUGAGGAUCUCUGCCUCCUGGACAUGCUUGUACUGGCAGAGGUCCCCGGCUGCUCGUCUACAGAAGCACCUGCUGCCUGAGCUUGAGGAAGAGAGAUUGAUGGAGGCCUGUUUUGAGAAGGUGGAUCUUCCACACAUAGAGGAGUAGAGCAGAUAGUUCCAGGUGGUGCAGUUCCUAUCCCAGAGGACCCAAA
Molecule: long non-coding RNA, 586 nt
Organism: Clarias gariepinus (North African catfish)
Lineage: Eukaryota; Metazoa; Chordata; Actinopteri; Siluriformes; Clariidae
Exons: 2
Source: RefSeq, a predicted model, not a curated record